GAAAAGAACCCCGGAGAGGGGAGUGAAAUAGAUCCUGAAACCGUGUGCGUACAAGCAGUAGGAGCUCGCAAGAGUGACUGCGUACCUUUUGUAUAAUGGGUCAGCGACUUACUGUUCGUGGCAAGCUUAACCGUAUAGGGGAGGCGAAGGGAAACCGAGUCUGAUAAGGGCGCAUAGUCGCGGGCAGUAGACCCGAAACCGGGUGAUCUAGUCAUGGCCAGGGUGAAGGUGCCGUAACAGGUACUGGAGGCCCGAACCCACGUCUGUUGCAAAAGACGGGGAUGAGCUGUGAUUAGGAGUGAAAAGCUAAUCGAACCCGGAGAUAGCUGGUUCUCCUCGAAAGCUAUUUAGGUAGCGCCUCAUAUGUAUCCUCUCGGGGGUAGAGCACUGUUAUGGCUAGGGGGUCAUCGCGACUUACCAAACCAUUGCAAACUCCGAAUACCGAGACGGACUGUAUGGGAGACACACGGCGGGUGCUAACGUCCGUCGUGAAAAGGGAAACAACCCAGACCCACAGCUAAGGUCCCAAAUUCACUGCUAAGUGGAAAACGAUGUGGAAAGGCAUAGACAGCCAGGAGGUUGGCUUAGAAGCAGCCACCCUUUAAAGAAAGCGUAAUAGCUCACUGGUCGAGUCGGUCUGCGCGGAAGAUUUAACGGGGCUAAGCAGUGAACCGAAGCUUGGGGUGCAUAAAACUUGUUUUAUGCGCGGUAGAGGAGCGUUCCGUAAGCCUGCGAAGGUGGAUUGAGAAGUCUGCUGGAGGUAUCGGAAGUGCGAAUGCUGACAUGAGUAACGAUAAUGCGGGUGAAAAGCCCGCACGCCGAAAGCCCAAGGUUUCCUUGCGCAACGUUAAUCGACGCAGGGUUAGUCGGUCCCUAAGGCGAGGGCGAAAGCCGUAGUCGAUGGGAAGCAGGUUAAUAUUCCUGCACCUCGCGUGAGUGCGAUGGAGGGACGGAGAAGGUUAGGUGUACCGGGCGUUGGUUGUCCCGGGGAAAGGCGGUAGGUUUGGAUCUUUNNNNGGCAANAUCCGGNNGAUCCUUUAAGANNCCGAGCACCGAGACGAGCCUUUAUGGCGAAGUCACUGAUACCACGCUUCCAGGAAAAGCUCCUAAGCUUCAGCUCACGAAGACCGUACCGUAAACCGACACAGGUGGGUAGGAUGAGAAUUCUCAGGCGCUUGAGAGAACUCGGGUGAAGGAACUAGGCAACAUGGCACCGUAACUUCGGGAGAAGGUGCACCCUUUUUGGUGGCUCGUGCGAGCUAUAGCUGAAGAGGGUCGCAGAAACCAGGCCGCUGCGACUGUUUAUCAAAAACACAGCACUCUGCAAACACGAAAGUGGACGUAUAGGGUGUGACGCCUGCCCGGUGCUGGAAGGUUAAUUGAUGGGGUCAGCCGCAAGGCGAAGCUCUUGAUCGAAGCCCCAGUAAACGGCGGCCGUAACUAUAACGGUCCUAAGGUAGCGAAAUUCCUUGUCGGGUAAGUUCCGACCUGCACGAAUGGCGUAACGACAGCGGCGCUGUCUCCACCCGAGACUCAGUGAAAUUGAAAUCGCUGUGAAGAUGCAGCGUUCCCGUGGCAAGACGGAAAGACCCCGUGAACCUUUACUAUAGCUUUACACUGAACGUUGAGUUCGUCUGUGUAGGAUAGGUGGGAGGCUAUGAAACUGUGGCGCUAGCUGCAGUGGAGCCAUCCUUGAAAUACCACCCUGUCGUGCUUGACGUUCUAACCUAGGUCCGUUAUCCGGAUCAGGGACCGUGUAUGGUGGGUAGUUUGACUGGGGCGGUCUCCUCCUAAAGAGUAACGGAGGAGCACGAAGGUACGCUCAGCGCGGUCGGACAUCGCGCACUGUGUGCAAAGGCAUAAGCGUGCUUGACUGCAAGAUCGACGGAUCAAGCAGGUACGAAAGUAGGUCUUAGUGAUCCGGUGGUUCUGUAUGGAAGGGCCAUCGCUCAACGGAUAAAAGGUACUCCGGGGAUAACAGGCUGAUACCGCCCAAGAGUUCAUAUCGACGGCGGUGUUUGGCACCUCGAUGUCGGCUCAUCACAUCCUGGGGCUGUAGUCGGUCCCAAGGGUAUGGCUGUUCGCCAUUUAAAGUGGUACGCGAGCUGGGUUCAGAACGUCGUGAGACAGUUCGGUCCCUAUCUGCCAUGGGCGUUGGAAGUUUGAGAGGGGCUGCUCCUAGUACGAGAGGACCGGAGUGGACGAACCUCUGGUGUUCCGGUUGUCACGCCAGUGGCAUUGCCGGGUAGCUAUGUUCGGAAGCGAUAACCGCUGAAAGCAUCUAAGCGGGAAGCGCGCCUCAAGAUGAGACUUCCCGGGGCACAAGCCCCCUAAAGGAACCAUGUAGACUACGUGGUUGAUAGGUCAGGUGUGUAAGUACAGCAAUGUAUUGAGCUAACUGAUACUAAUGAUCCGUGCGGCUUGACC
This is a ribosomal RNA of 2427 nucleotides. It matches the Rfam family "Bacterial large subunit ribosomal RNA", at positions 516 to 2925 of the family's 2925-position model.